UGGAACAACCUGGAAAAUGCUCCUCCAAU
Molecule: non-coding RNA, 29 nt
Filed under: Rattus norvegicus (Norway rat)
Lineage: Eukaryota; Metazoa; Chordata; Mammalia; Rodentia; Muridae
Source: RNAcentral